GGGGGCCCGCAAGCGGUGGAGCAUGUGGUUCAAUUCGACGCAACGCGAAGAACCUUACCUGGGCUCGAACGGCUAUGGACAAUCUUUGGAAACAGAGACUUCUCGCAAGAGACUGUAGUCGAGGUGCUGCAUGGCUGUCGUCAGCUCGUGUCGUGAGAUGUUGGGUUAAGUCCCGCAACGAGCGCAACCCUUGUCCUGUGUUGCCAUCAUUAAGUUGGGCACUCUCAGGAGACCGCCAGCGAUAAGCUGGAGGAAGGUGGGGAUGAUGUCAAGUCAUCAUGGCCUUUAUGUCCAGGGCUACACACGUGCUACAAUGGCCGGUACAAAGCGCUGCAAACUCGCAAGAGGGAGCUAAUCGCAAAAAACCGGUCUCAGUUCGGAUCGCAGGCUGCAACUCGCCUGCGUGAAGCUGGAAUCGCUAGUAAUGCCGUAUCAGAACGAUGGCGUGAAUACGUUCCCGGGCCUUGUACACACC
Molecule: ribosomal RNA, 475 nt
Filed under: uncultured bacterium
Lineage: Bacteria
Description: bacterial SSU rRNA
Rfam family: Bacterial small subunit ribosomal RNA
Source: RNAcentral